This 460-nucleotide ribosomal RNA is filed under the name uncultured Saprospiraceae bacterium. RNAcentral describes it as "bacterial SSU rRNA". It matches the Rfam family "Bacterial small subunit ribosomal RNA", at positions 338 to 795 of the family's 1533-position model. Lineage: Bacteria; Pseudomonadati; Bacteroidota; Saprospiria; Saprospirales; Saprospiraceae. The record is from RNAcentral.
CCUACGGGGGGCUGCAGUAAGGAAUAUUGGACAAUGGAGGGAACUCUGAUCCAGCCAUUCCGCGUGGAGGAAGAAUGCCCUAUGGGUUGUAAACUUCUUUUGGAUGGGAAUAAAAUGCCCCUUGCGAGGGGAACUGAAGGUACCAUCAGAAUAAGCACCGGCUAACUCCGUGCCAGCAGCCGCGGUAAUACGGAGGGUGCGAGCGUUAUCCGGAAUUACUGGGUUUAAAGGGUGCGUAGGCGGAAAUUUAAGUCUGGGGUGAAAUAUUGUGGCUUAACCAUAAGAUUGCCUUGGAUACUGGGUUUCUUGAAUUGGGAUGAGGAUGGCGGAAUGUGACAUGUAGCGGUGAAAUGCAUAGAUAUGUCAUAGAACACCAAUUGCGAAGGCAGCUAUCUGGUCUCAUAUUGACGCUGAGGCACGAAAGCGUGGGGAGCGAACAGGAUUAGAUACCCCAGUAGUC